AAAUUAAUGAAUAGUGUUUAUUUUGUACAUUAUUGACAGAUUAUAAAAACACUGUCAGUUUACUCGUAGAAUGUAUGAUGAGUUUCACAUUAUGUUAAUUAAAUCCUUAGUUAGUUAGUUGAACCAAUGCAGCGUUGAUCGAAUUCAUACCGGUAGGUACUCUUUGGCAUUUUACCAUAUCUAAAUUGUCAUAUAUACCUCUGUAUAUAGGUGGGUUUCAGUAAACAUUGCCGGGUAGCUCGACAGCAAUAGUGGUCAAGAACAACAGCAAAACUAUUAAACAACAUUUCUAUAAUAUAAUGAAAAGUUUAAAUUUCUCGGUUACUAAAUUAAACAAAUGAAAUUAAAGAAAUUAGCAUCAUGGAUUUUCCCGUUGCUCUUAGAGAACCGCGCCGGUUUAUGACCUAUGUCUAUGAAACUGAUACUGGCGUUGGAUAAAGUGUGUAGGCAAUACAUUAAUUUUGCACCUUUGGCUUUGAUAAAAUGUAUAUAUAGGAACAAAAAAGUCGAUUUUGCCAAUUUAUCUGAAGAAUUGGCCAUAUAGAUCGAUUAUGGUGUUAUUCGACUUUUCUCUAGUAUCACUGGCUAUUUGCUCUGUUUAUUAAUACACAUUUGCUAUUCAAUCAGAUAUUUUACUAACAUCAGGCAUGCAGGGAUAUGAUAUGUGAUCAUGCAAUUAAAAUUUCAAGGUUACUUAUAGCCGUCGAAAUAAGAUUAUUCAAAUUAAUCUAAACGUUGAGGUAAACUAUAGAAAGACCUGCAUCUUCUGUAGUUCAUGAUCUUAUCUCAAACUCAUUAAUAAUUCAUGAGUAAAUUAGCCAACCAUAUUGCUUUAUUUUGCUCACAUGAUAAUACUGGAUACCUGAUGAAGUACAAUGAUCCGGCCUAGGACUGGAUCAAAAUUAAUUCAGUCCUUGGACUGGAUCAAAAUUAAUUAAACAAAUCCUCCAAUUCAGACUGGACUAGAUUUCAAGUCCUUGAUCUAGUCCUAGGCUUCGCCGGCCUCGGACUUGAUCAAAUUGCGACUUGAAAUC
This is a non-coding RNA of Paramuricea clavata, 1034 nucleotides long. Lineage: Eukaryota; Metazoa; Cnidaria; Anthozoa; Malacalcyonacea; Plexauridae. The record is from the annotation of a GenBank genome assembly.